UCCCGUAGGUGACGACGUGUGGUAAGUGAAAUCGAGUAGGGCGGGACACGUGAUAUACUGUCUAAAUAUGGGGGGACCGUCCUCCAAGGCUAAAUACUACUGAGUGACCGAUAGUGAACCAGUACCGGUAUGGAAAGGCGAAAAGAACCCCUGUGAGGGGAGUGAAAUAGAACCUGAAACCGUGUACGUACAAGCAGUAGGAGCA
Molecule: ribosomal RNA, 205 nt
Filed under: Vibrio parahaemolyticus
Lineage: Bacteria; Pseudomonadati; Pseudomonadota; Gammaproteobacteria; Vibrionales; Vibrionaceae
Description: partial 23S ribosomal RNA
Rfam family: Bacterial large subunit ribosomal RNA
Source: RNAcentral